GGGAGUGAAGCUCAAAUGGUAGAGCGAGUGCUUUGCAAGCAUUAGGCUGUCGGUUCGAUUCCGAUUACUUCCA
Molecule: transfer RNA, 73 nt
Filed under: Reclinomonas americana ATCC 50633
Lineage: Eukaryota; Jakobea; Jakobida; Histionidae
Also listed under: 1 other name
Description: tRNA-Ala
Rfam family: tRNA
About the family: Transfer RNA (tRNA) molecules are approximately 80 nucleotides in length. Their secondary structure includes four short double-helical elements and three loops (D, anti-codon, and T loops).
Source: RNAcentral